Molecule: ribosomal RNA, 769 nt
Filed under: Salmonella enterica
Lineage: Bacteria; Pseudomonadati; Pseudomonadota; Gammaproteobacteria; Enterobacterales; Enterobacteriaceae
Also listed under: 2 other names
Description: partial 23S ribosomal RNA
Rfam family: Bacterial large subunit ribosomal RNA
Source: RNAcentral
CAGUGAAAUUGAACUCGCUGUGAAGAUGCAGUGUACCCGCGGCAAGACGGAAAGACCCCGUGAACCUUUACUAUAGCUUGACACUGAACAUUGAGCCUUGAUGUGUAGGAUAGGUGGGAGGCUUUGAAGUGUGGACGCCAGUCUGCAUGGAGCCGACCUUGAAAUACCACCCUUUAAUGUUUGAUGUUCUAACGUGGACCCGUUACCCGGGUUGCGGACAGUGUCUGGUGGGUAGUUUGACUGGGGCGGUCUCCUCCUAAAGAGUAACGGAGGAGCACGAAGGUUGGCUAAUCCUGGUCGGACAUCAGGAGGUUAGUGCAAUGGCAUAAGCCAGCUUGACUGCGAGCGUGACGGCGCGAGCAGGUGCGAAAGCAGGUCAUAGUGAUCCGGUGGUUCUGAAUGGAAGGGCCAUCGCUCAACGGAUAAAAGGUACUCCGGGGAUAACAGGCUGAUACCGCCCAAGAGUUCAUAUCGACGGCGGUGUUUGGCACCUCGAUGUCGGCUCAUCACAUCCUGGGGCUGAAGUAGGUCCCAAGGGUAUGGCUGUUCGCCAUUUAAAGUGGUACGCGAGCUGGGUUUAGAACGUCGUGAGACAGUUCGGUCCCUAUCUGCCGUGGGCGCUGGAGAACUGAGGGGGGCUGCUCCUAGUACGAGAGGACCGGAGUGGACGCAUCACUGGUGUUCGGGUUGUCAUGCCAAUGGCACUGCCCGGUAGCUAAAUGCGGAAGAGAUAAGUGCUGAAAGCAUCUAAGCACGAAACUUGCCCCGA